GUUAAGUUUCGCGUUAGACGCAAAGUAAAGACAUUCUAGGACAAUCAACGUGGUGUGUGAAAGAGGAGCAGUUCCCCGCAAACAGGGGGAUCCGCCUCGGGUGCACAGGUGUGUGUAGAUAUACAGAGUAUAUUGGUAUUCUGUAAUGAUCCUUCCGCAGGUUCACCUACGGAAA
Molecule: unclassified non-coding RNA, 175 nt
Filed under: uncultured fungus
Lineage: Eukaryota; Fungi
Description: sequence contains ITS1
Source: RNAcentral